Molecule: unclassified non-coding RNA, 321 nt
Filed under: uncultured fungus
Lineage: Eukaryota; Fungi
Description: partial contains 5.8S ribosomal RNA and internal transcribed spacer 2
Rfam family: 5.8S ribosomal RNA (bases 1-133)
Source: RNAcentral
UGGUUCUGGCAUCGAAGAAGAACGCAGCAAAAUGCGAUAAGUAAUGUGAAUUGCAGAAUUCAGUGAAUCAUCGAAUCUUUGAACGCACAUUGCGCCCGCCAGUAUUCUGGCGGGCAUGCCUGUUCGAGCGUCAUUUCAACCCUCAAGCACAGCUUGGUGUUGGGAUCCGUAGUUCUGAACUACGGUCCCCAAAUCUAUUGGCGGUCACGUCGAGCUUCCAUAGCGUAGUAAUUACACCUCGUUACUGGUACUCGUCGCGGCCACGCCGUUAAACCCCAACUUCUGAAUGUUGACCUCGGAUCAGGUAGGAAUACCCGCUGA